RNAcentral lists this ribosomal RNA (476 nucleotides) under uncultured bacterium. RNAcentral's name for it is "partial 16S ribosomal RNA". It matches the Rfam family "Bacterial small subunit ribosomal RNA", at positions 29 to 507 of the family's 1533-position model. The record is from RNAcentral.
AUGAACGCUGGCGGCGUGCCUAACACAUGCCAGUCGCACGAAGCACCUUACCUGAUUCUUCGGAUGAAAGUUUGGUGACUGAGUGGCGGACGGGUGAGUAACGCGUGGGUAACCUGCCCUGUACAGGGGGAUAACAGCUGGAAACGGCUGCUAAUACCGCAUAAGCGCACGAGGAGACAUCUCCUUGUGUGAAAAACUCCGGUGGUACAGGAUGGGCCCGCGUCUGAUUAGCUGGUUGGCAGGGUAACGGCCUACCAAGGCAACGAUCAGUAGCCGGUCUGAGAGGAUGAACGGCCACAUUGGAACUGAGACACGGUCCAAACUCCUACGGGAGGCAGCAGUGGGGAAUAUUGCACAAUGGGGGAAACCCUGAUGCAGCAACGCCGCGUGAGUGAAGAAGUAUUUCGGUAUGUAAAGCUCUAUCAGCAGGGAAGAUAAUGACGGUACCUGACUAAGAAGCUCCGGCUAAAUACGUG